GAUGAACGCUAGCGGCAGGCCUAACACAUGCAAGUCGAGGGGUAUAGUUCUUCGGAACUAGAGACCGGCGCACGGGUGCGUAACGCGUAUGCAAUCUACCUUUUACAGGGGAAUAGCCCAGAGAAAUUUGGAUUAAUGCCCCAUAGUGUUAUAGAAUCGCAUGGUUUUAUAACUAAAGUUCCAACGGUAAAAGAUGAGCAUGCGUCCCAUUAGUUAGUUGGUAAGGUAACGGCUUACCAAGACAAUGAUGGGUAGGGGUCCUGAGAGGGAGAUCCCCCACACUGGUACUGAGACACGGACCAGACUCCUACGGGAGGCAGCAGUGAGGAAUAUUGGACAAUGGGCGCAAGCCUGAUCCAGCCAUGCCGCGUGCAGGAAGACGGUCCUAUGGAUUGUAAACUGCUUUUGUACAGGAAGAAACACUCCCUCGUGAGGGAGCUUGACGGUACUGUAAGAAUAAGGAUCGGCUAACUCCGUGCCAGCAGCCGCGGUAAAGU
Molecule: ribosomal RNA, 497 nt
Filed under: uncultured bacterium
Lineage: Bacteria
Description: bacterial SSU rRNA
Rfam family: Bacterial small subunit ribosomal RNA
Source: RNAcentral